This 498-nucleotide ribosomal RNA is filed under the name uncultured bacterium. RNAcentral describes it as "partial 16S ribosomal RNA". It matches the Rfam family "Bacterial small subunit ribosomal RNA", at positions 29 to 523 of the family's 1533-position model. The record is from RNAcentral.
AUUGAACGCUGGCGGCAUGCUUUACACAUGCAAGUCGAACGGUAACAGGCCGCAAGGUGCUGACGAGUGGCGAACGGGUGAGUAAUGCAUCGGAACGUGCCCAGUCGGGGGGGAUAACGCAGCGAAACUUGCGCUAAUCCCGCAUACGAGUGAUGGAUGAAAGCGGGGGACCGUAAGGCCUCGCGCGAUUGGAGCGGCCGGUGUCAGAUUAGGUAGUUGGUGGGGUAAAGGCUCACCAAGCCGACUAUCAGUAGCUGGUCUGAGAGGACGACCAGCCUCACUGGGACGGAGACCCGGCCCAGACGCCUCCGGGAGUCAGCGGUGGGGAAUUUUGGACAAUGGGCGCACCCCUGAUCCAGCAAUGCCCCGUGCAGGAAGAAGGCCUUCGGGUUGUCAACUGCUUUUGUACGGAACGAAACGGUCCUGGUUAAUACCCGGGGCUAAUGACGGUACCGUAAGAAUAAGCACCGGCUAACUACGUGCCAGCCGCCGCGGUAA